This is a long non-coding RNA of Cyprinus carpio carpio, 965 nucleotides long. The record is from Ensembl. Lineage: Eukaryota; Metazoa; Chordata; Actinopteri; Cypriniformes; Cyprinidae.
CGCCCACCGUCGGGUAAUCGUCGGCUUCUUCUGAACCGAACUGCAGUGCAGAGCCGGAAUGGGGGGCUUGGCCCCAAUCCAGCACGGUCAAAAUUAGCUCUCUGUUGAAUUACAUGCAGUCAGCCAGUGGAAGCGGCUGAGAUCCUGACGCCCCAGUCCCGCAGCCUUGUAUGGGGGGUCCAAACCCCGCAAGGCUGCUGCUCGGCUCCGCUUUCGUCCAAGAAAGCCUUUUCCAACAGCAACUUUACAGCAAGGGACAAGAACAAAGACUUUAUCUGUUGUUUCUUCAACAUGACACCAACAGGAGCAAUGGGGGAUCCCAUUAGAGCUGACGGCUGUGUUCCUGAACCCGGUGGCACGGAGAGGAACGACCACGAAAGAUCGACAUUCCUUCUGUCUGAUGCAGGAUAGAGAACGGCCCUCUGGGGAAAUUGUAUCCUCAUAAAAACCUGGGACUCUAAGCCUUGAUGAUAUGUUCUUCGGAGGGGGCGGCAGUAAAGACACACAGCACCUCAAGACAGACUGGAGCUUCACUAAAGACCCACAUGUCUGUGUUUGUAAACUCCAAAGGGGCCCUCGGGGGUCCGGCGGCAGCGGCACGUCUUCCACUUGUCCACUUCAACUUCACACGGCUGGACUCUUUCAUACCUCUGUGAACAAACCCACCGAGAAAUGUUAAUGAUGUUCUGUAUUGACAUGCAAUGUGACAAACGCCACGUGUUUUUAACAACAUCAGGGUUCCCACAUGGACAAACAGAACUGGUGUCUUCACUCAAAAAUUGGUGAAGAAACUAUUUCUACACAUAAAGAAAUUUCACAAAAAAAAAAAAAAAAAAUAUUUUCAAUCAGAAAUUAAAAACAUUUUUACAAAAAAAAAAAAAAGAAUUGACAAAUUUAAAUCAGAAAUUAAAUGUCACCCAAAAAUUGGUGUAGAAACAAUUUUCAAUCAUAAACUAAUUCCACCA